This 440-nucleotide ribosomal RNA is filed under the name uncultured bacterium. RNAcentral describes it as "partial 16S ribosomal RNA". It matches the Rfam family "Bacterial small subunit ribosomal RNA", at positions 339 to 795 of the family's 1533-position model. The record is from RNAcentral.
CUACGGGAGGCAGCAGUGGGGAAUAUUGGACAAUGGGCGCAAGCCUGAUCCAGCAAUGCCGCGUGAGUGAAGACGGCCUUCGGGUUGUAAAACUCUUUCGCUAGGGAAGAUAAUGACUGUACCUAGUAAAGAAGUCCCGGCGUAACUCCGUGCCAGCAGCCGCGGUAAUACGGAGGGGACUAGCGUUGUUCGGAAGUACUGGGCGUAAAGAGUUCGUAGGCGGACUGACAAGUUAGAGGUGAAAUCCCAGGGCUCAACCCUGGAACUGCCUUUAAAACUGUCAGUCUAGAGACCGGAAGAGGUUAGGGGAAUACCUAGUGUAGAGGUGAAAUUCGUAGAUAUUAGGUGGAACACCAGUGGCGAAGGCGCCUAACUGGUCCGGUACUGACGCUGAGGAACGAAAGCGUGGGGAGCAAACAGGAUUAGAUACCCCCGUAGUC